Molecule: transfer RNA, 76 nt
Filed under: Patescibacteria group bacterium
Lineage: Bacteria
Description: tRNA-Thr
Rfam family: tRNA
About the family: Transfer RNA (tRNA) molecules are approximately 80 nucleotides in length. Their secondary structure includes four short double-helical elements and three loops (D, anti-codon, and T loops). Further hydrogen bonds mediate the characteristic L-shaped molecular structure. tRNAs have two regions of fundamental functional importance: the anti-codon, which is responsible for specific mRNA codon recognition, and the 3' end, to which the tRNAs corresponding amino acid is attached (by aminoacyl-tRNA synthetases). tRNAs cope with the degeneracy of the genetic code in two manners: having more than one tRNA (with a specific anti-codon) for a particular amino acid; and 'wobble' base-pairing, i.e. permitting non-standard base-pairing at the 3rd anti-codon position.
Source: RNAcentral
GCCGACCUAGCUCAACUGGUAGAGCAACGGUAUCGUAAACCGUAGGUUAUGGGUCCGAGUCCCAUGGUCGGCUCAA